GGCACGAUGGCGGAGUGGUUAACGCGAUGCCCUGCUAUCUUUGCAAGAUUGUGAAGGCAUUUCCUUCGGGAGCGCAGGUUCGAAUCCUGCUCGUGUCG
Molecule: non-coding RNA, 98 nt
Organism: Hypoxylon sp. FL1284
Lineage: Eukaryota; Fungi; Ascomycota; Sordariomycetes; Xylariales; Hypoxylaceae
Source: the annotation of a GenBank genome assembly